This 484-nucleotide ribosomal RNA is filed under the name uncultured bacterium. RNAcentral's name for it is "partial 16S ribosomal RNA". It matches the Rfam family "Bacterial small subunit ribosomal RNA", at positions 30 to 507 of the family's 1533-position model. The record is from RNAcentral.
AUUGAACGCUAGCGGGAUGCUUUACACAUGCAAGUCGAACGGCAGCGCGGACUUCGGUCUGGCGGCGAGUGGCGAACGGGUGAGUAAUGUAUCGGAACGUGCCCAGUAGCGGGGGAUAACUACGCGAAAGCGUAGCUAAUACCGCAUACGCCCUACGGGGGAAAGCAGGGGAUCGUAAGACCUUGCACUAUUGGAGCGGCCGAUAUCGGAUUAGCUAGUUGGUGAGGUAACGGCUCACCAAGGCGACGAUCCGUAGCUGGUUUGAGAGGACGACCAGCCACACUGGGACUGAGACACGGCCCAGACUCCUACGGGAGGCAGCAGUGGGGAAUUUUGGACAAUGGGGGCAACCCUGAUCCAGCCAUCCCGCGUGUGCGAUGAAGGCCUUCGGGUUGUAAAGCAUUUUUGGCAGGAAAGAAACGUCGCGGGCUAAUACCCCGUGGAACUGACGGUACCUGCAGAAUAAGCACCGGCUAACUACGUG